This 583-nucleotide ribosomal RNA is filed under the name Epipedocera abdominalis. RNAcentral's name for it is "partial large subunit ribosomal RNA". The stretch from base 206 to 399 matches the Rfam family "Archaeal large subunit ribosomal RNA", at positions 1794 to 2108 of the family's 2987-position model. Lineage: Eukaryota; Metazoa; Arthropoda; Insecta; Coleoptera; Cerambycidae. The record is from RNAcentral.
UUCCCGAAUUCGGAAGAGUUAUAGAUUUUAUUGUCAUAAAUAUUUUUAAUUUGAAAUGAGACGUUAUUAUAUCUGGUUUAAAAAGAAAAUUUAAUUUUAUUAUAAUUUCGGGGAUGAGCUUGAAAGGGGAUUAGAAGUUUUGUUAUAACUAGGUUAUUUUUAUGUAUUUUUGAAUUUAUGUAUUAAUAAUGAUUAAAUUAGUAUAAGGUUAAUUAAAGGAACUCGGCAAAAAUUUUUCACCUGUUUAUUAAAAACAUGGCCUUUUGACUAUAAUUUAAGGUCUUGCCUGCCCACUGAGGCCGCGGUACUUUGACCGUGCAAAGGUAGCAUAAUCAUUAGUUUUUUAAAUGGAAGCUGGAAUGAAUGGUAUGAUGAAAAAAUAACUGUCUCUAUUUAAUAGAAUUUUAUUUUUAAGUCAGAAUGCUUAAAUAAUAUUAAAAGACGAGAAGACCCUAUAGAGUUUAACUUUAGUUGGGGUGACUGAAAAAUUAAAAAAACUUUUGAUAAUAAGAUCAAAUUACCUUAGGGAUAACAGCGUAAUUUUUCUAAGAGUUCAAAUCGAUAGGAAAGUUUGCGACCUCGA